Molecule: ribosomal RNA, 364 nt
Filed under: uncultured bacterium
Lineage: Bacteria
Description: bacterial SSU rRNA
Rfam family: Bacterial small subunit ribosomal RNA
Source: RNAcentral
GAUGAACGCUGGCGGCGUGCCUAAUACAUGCAAGUCGAACGAGGUCUUCGGACCGAGUGGCGAACGGGUGAGUAACACGUUGGUACCUACCCCGAAGUGGGGAAUAACUGGCCGAAAGGUCGGCUAAUACCGCAUAAUACCGCAAGGUUAAAGCAGUAAUGCGCUUCGGGAGGGGCCUGCGUCCCAUUAGCUAGUUGGUGAGGUAAUUGCUCACCAAGGCAACGAUGGGUAGCUGGAUCGAGAGGUUGACCAGCCACACUGGGACUGAGAUACGGCCCAGACUCCUACGGGAGGCAGCAGUAAGGAAUCUUCCACAAUGGACGAAAGUCUGAUGGAGCAACGCCGCGUGCAGGAUGACGGCCUU